This 484-nucleotide ribosomal RNA is filed under the name uncultured bacterium. RNAcentral describes it as "partial 16S ribosomal RNA". It matches the Rfam family "Bacterial small subunit ribosomal RNA", at positions 30 to 507 of the family's 1533-position model. The record is from RNAcentral.
AUUGAACGCUGGCGGCAGGCCUAACACAUGCAAGUCGAGCGGAUGAAGGGAGCUUGCUCCUGGAUUCAGCGGCGGACGGGUGAGUAAUGCCUAGGAAUCUGCCUGGUAGUGGGGGAUAACGUCCGGAAACGGGCGCUAAUCCCGCAUACGUCCUGAGGGAGAAAGUGGGGGAUCUUCGGACCUCACGCUAUCAGAUGAGCCUAGGUCGGAUUAGCUAGUUGGUGGGGUAAAGGCCUACCAAGGCGACGAUCCGUAACUGGUCUGAGAGGAUGAUCAGUCACACUGGAACUGAGACACGGUCCAGACUCCUACGGGAGGCAGCAGUGGGGAAUAUUGGACAAUGGGCGAAAGCCUGAUCCAGCCAUGCCGCGUGUGUGAAGAAGGUCUUCGGAUUGUAAAGCACUUUAGGUUGGGAGGAAGGGCAGUAAGUUAAUACCUUGCUGUUUUGACGUUACCAACAGAAUAAGCACCGGCUAACUUCGUG